AGCGUAGGCGGAUUUUUAAGUGAGAUGUGGAAUACUCGGGCUUAACCUGAGUGCUGCAUUUCAAACUGGAAGUCUAGAGUGCAGGAGAGGAGAAGGGAAUUCCUAGUGUAGCGGUGAAAUGCGUAGAGAUUAGGAAGAACACCAGUGGCGAAGGCGCUUCUCUGGACUGUAACUGACGCUGAGGCACGAAAGCGUGGGAGGCAAACA
Molecule: ribosomal RNA, 207 nt
Filed under: uncultured bacterium
Lineage: Bacteria
Description: partial 16S ribosomal RNA
Rfam family: Bacterial small subunit ribosomal RNA
Source: RNAcentral